ACGAAGGGUGCAAGCGUUAAUCGGAAUUACUGGGCGUAAAGCGCGCGUAGGUGGUUCAGUAAGUUGGAAGUGAAAUCCCCGGGCUCAACCUGGGAACUGCUUUCAAAACUGCUGGGCUAGAGUACAGUAGAGGGUAGUGGAAUUUCCUGUGUAGCGGUGAAAUGCGUAGAUAUAGGAAGGAACACCAGUGGCGAAGGCGACUACCUGGACUGAUACUGACACUGAGGUGCGAAAGCGUGGGGAGCAAACAGG
Molecule: ribosomal RNA, 252 nt
Filed under: uncultured bacterium
Lineage: Bacteria
Description: partial 16S ribosomal RNA
Rfam family: Bacterial small subunit ribosomal RNA
Source: RNAcentral